NNNGGGUGCUCUCGCAACACUACCCUGUGAACUCGGUCAGGUCCGGAAGGAAGCAGCCGCAGCAGGCGACGUGUGUGCCGGGAUGUCGCUGGCGGGG
This 97-nucleotide signal recognition particle RNA is filed under the name Sodalis sp. TME1. RNAcentral describes it as "Bacterial small signal recognition particle RNA". It matches the Rfam family "Bacterial small signal recognition particle RNA". Rfam says of the family: The signal recognition particle (SRP) is a universally conserved ribonucleoprotein involved in the co-translational targeting of proteins to membranes. Lineage: Bacteria; Pseudomonadati; Pseudomonadota; Gammaproteobacteria; Enterobacterales; Bruguierivoracaceae. The record is from Rfam by way of RNAcentral.